CCUACGGGUGGCAGCAGUGGGGAAUAUUGGACAAUGGGCGAAAGCCUGAUCCAGCCAUGCCGCGUGUGUGAAGAAGGCCUUCGGGUUGUAAAGCACUUUCAGUGGGGAAGAAAGCCUUGGGGCUAAUACCCUCGAGGAAGGACAUCACCCACAGAAGAAGCACCGGCUGAACUCCGUGCCAGCAGCCGCGGUAAUACGGAGGGUGCGAGCGUUAAUCGGAAUUACUGGGCGUAAAGCGCGCGUAGGCGGUCUGAUAAGCCGGUUGUGAAAGCCCCGGGCUCAACCUGGGAACGGCAUCCGGAACUGUCAGGCUAGAGUGCAGGAGAGGAAGGUAGAAUUCCCGGUGUAGCGGUGAAAUGCGUAGAGAUCGGGAGGAAUACCAGUGGCGAAGGCGGCCUUCUGGACUGACACUGACGCUGAGGUGCGAAAGCGUGGGUAGCAAACAGGAUUAGAUACCCCAGUAGUC
RNAcentral lists this ribosomal RNA (466 nucleotides) under Vreelandella stevensii. RNAcentral describes it as "partial 16S ribosomal RNA". It matches the Rfam family "Bacterial small subunit ribosomal RNA", at positions 338 to 795 of the family's 1533-position model. The record is from RNAcentral. Lineage: Bacteria; Pseudomonadati; Pseudomonadota; Gammaproteobacteria; Oceanospirillales; Halomonadaceae.